Molecule: unclassified non-coding RNA, 147 nt
Filed under: soil metagenome
Description: partial internal transcribed spacer 1
Source: RNAcentral
CCGAGUUUACAACUCCCAAACCCCUGUGAACAUACCACUUGUUGCCUCGGCGGAUCAGCCCGCUCCCGGUAAAACGGGACGGCCCGCCAGAGGAUCCCUAAACUCUGUUUCUAUAUGUAACUUCUGAGUAAAACCAUAAAUAAAUCA